Non-coding RNA from Aedes albopictus (Asian tiger mosquito), 122 nucleotides. NCBI's taxonomy places the organism in Eukaryota, Metazoa, Arthropoda, Insecta, Diptera, Culicidae. The record is from Rfam.
UGCCCAGCAACUUCUAUCCCUACCUCCACGUGGUACCGGCUGGAAACUACGAGCAACCUUAGGGAAGAUCGGGUAACCAGCACCGCCCGGUGGGAACGUUGGUUGUAGGCUGACAGGGAAGG